Molecule: ribosomal RNA, 2189 nt
Filed under: Escherichia coli
Lineage: Bacteria; Pseudomonadati; Pseudomonadota; Gammaproteobacteria; Enterobacterales; Enterobacteriaceae
Description: bacterial LSU rRNA
Rfam family: Bacterial large subunit ribosomal RNA
Source: RNAcentral
AGCGUACACGGUGGAUGCCCUGGCAGUCAGAGGCGAUGAAGGACGUGCUAAUCUGCGAUAAGCGUCGGUGAGGUGAUAUGAACCGUUAUAACCGGCGAUUUCCGAAUGGGGAAACCCAGUGUGUUUCGACACACUAUCAUUAACUGAAUCCAUAGGUUAAUGAGGCGAACCGGGGGAACUGAAACAUCUAAGUACCCCGAGGAAAAGAAAUCAACCGAGAUUCCCCCAGUAGCGGCGAGCGAACGGGGAGGAGCCCAGAGCCUGAAUCAGUGUGUGUGUUAGUGGAAGCGUCUGGAAAGGCGUGCGAUACAGGGUGACAGCCCCGUACACAAAAAUGCACAUGCUGUGAGCUCGAUGAGUAGGGCGGGACACGUGGUAUCCUGUCUGAAUAUGGGGGGACCAUCCUCCAAGGCUAAAUACUCCUGACUGACCGAUAGUGAACCAGUACCGUGAGGGAAAGGCGAAAAGAACCCCGGCGAGGGGAGUGAAAAAGAACCUGAAACCGUGUACGUACAAGCAGUGGGAGCCUCUUAAUGGGGUGACUGCGUACCUUUUGUAUAAUGGGUCAGCGACUUAUAUUCUGUAGCAAGGUUAACCGAAUAGGGGAGCCGAAGGGAAACCGAGUCUUAACUGGGCGUUAAGUUGCAGGGUAUAGACCCGAAACCCGGUGAUCUAGCCAUGGGCAGGUUGAAGGUUGGGUAACACUAACUGGAGGACCGAACCGACUAAUGUUGAAAAAUUAGCGGAUGACUUGUGGCUGGGGGUGAAAGGCCAAUCAAACCGGGAGAUAGCUGGUUCUCCCCGAAAGCUAUUUAGGUAGCGCCUCGUGAAUUCAUCUCCGGGGGUAGAGCACUGUUUCGGCAAGGGGGUCAUCCCGACUUACCAACCCGAUGCAAACUGCGAAUACCGGAGAAUGUUAUCACGGGAGACACACGGCGGGUGCUAACGUCCGUCGUGAAGAGGGAAACAACCCAGACCGCCAGCUAAGGUCCCAAAGUCAUGGUUAAGUGGGAAACGAUGUGGGAAGGCCCAGACAGCCAGGAUGUUGGCUUAGAAGCAGCCAUCAUUUAAAGAAAGCGUAAUAGCUCACUGGUCGAGUCGGCCUGCGCGGAAGAUGUAACGGGGCUAAACCAUGCACCGAAGCUGCGGCAGCGACACUAUGUGUUGUUGGGUAGGGGAGCGUUCUGUAAGCCUGUGAAGGUGGCCUGUGAGGGUUGCUGGAGGUAUCAGAAGUGCGAAUGCUGACAUAAGUAACGAUAAAGCGGGUGAAAAGCCCGCUCGCCGGAAGACCAAGGGUUCCUGUCCAACGUUAAUCGGGGCAGGGUGAGUCGACCCCUAAGGCGAGGCCGAAAGGCGUAGUCGAUGGGAAACAGGUUAAUAUUCCUGUACUUGGUGUUACUGCGAAGGGGGGACGGAGAAGGCUAUGUUGGCCGGGCGACGGUUGUCCCGGUUUAAGCGUGUAGGCUGGUUUUCCAGGCAAAUCCGGAAAACCAAGGCUGAGGCGUGAUGACGAGGCACUACGGUGCUGAAGCGACAAAUGCCCUGCUUCCAGGAAAAGCCUCUAAGCAUCAGGUAACAUCAAAUCGUACCCCAAACCGACACAGGUGGUCAGGUAGAGAAUACCAAGGCGCUUGAGAGAACUCGGGUGAAGGAACUAGGCAAAAUGGUGCCGUAACUUCGGGAGAAGGCACGCUGAUAUGUAGGUGAAGCGACUUGCUCGUGGAGCUGAAAUCAGUCGAAGAUACCAGCUGGCUGCAACUGUUUAUUAAAAACACAGCACUGUGCAAACACGAAAGUGGACGUAUACGGUGUGACGCCUGCCCGGUGCCGGAAGGUUAAUUGAUGGGGUUAGCGGCAACGCGAAGCUCUUGAUCGAAGCCCCGGUAAACGGCGGCCGUAACUAUAACGGUCCUAAGGUAGCGAAAUUCCUUGUCGGGUAAGUUCCGACCUGCACGAAUGGCGUAAUGAUGGCCAGGCUGUCUCCACCCGAGACUCAGUGAAAUUGAACUCGCUGUGAAGAUGCAGUGUACCCGCGGCAAGACGGAAAGACCCCGUGAACCUUUACUAUAGCUUGACACUGAACAUUGAGCCUUGAUGUGUAGGAUAGGUGGGAGGCUUUGAAGUGUGGACGCCAGUCUGCAUGGAGCCGACCUUGAAAUACCACCCUUUAAUGUUUGAUGUUCUAACGU